GCCUGGGUGGCUCAGUCGACCGAGCAUCUGACUUCGGCUCAGGUCACGAUCUCCCAGUUCGCGGGUUCGAGCCCCACGCUGGGCU
This 85-nucleotide transfer RNA is filed under the name Felis catus (domestic cat). It matches the Rfam family "tRNA". From Rfam's summary of the family: Transfer RNA (tRNA) molecules are approximately 80 nucleotides in length. The record is from Rfam by way of RNAcentral. RNAcentral also lists the same sequence under 3 other names. Lineage: Eukaryota; Metazoa; Chordata; Mammalia; Carnivora; Felidae.